CAAGUGCUCUGCAAGUGUGUUGAGUCAGCAGAAUCUAUACUCCACUUUCCUAUGAAAAUCCUUCAGUUUGUGUAUGACUAUGUAUAGCUAUUUUUCACCUUGUUUGUUUUAAGAAAAUCACAGAGGCGAAAAGUAAAGGAAGAAGAAGUCAAAAUGGAGAAAUGAGGAAAAAGAAUGGCUUUCCAGGGAAGGAGAGAAGCCAACAUGGAUACAGACAAAGAGGAAGAUGAUCCUGGUUCCACGUGGUUUUAAACAACCACAAGUAGCCAAGAUUUUCACAAGGUUAGAAUAAUUGGGUUAAAGCUUUAUCUUUAACAAUUGGCUCUGAAA
Long non-coding RNA from Mastomys coucha (southern multimammate mouse), 330 nucleotides. RefSeq lists it as uncharacterized. The transcript is spliced from 2 exons. The record is from RefSeq and is a predicted model, not a curated record. NCBI's taxonomy places the organism in Eukaryota, Metazoa, Chordata, Mammalia, Rodentia, Muridae.